RNAcentral lists this ribosomal RNA (842 nucleotides) under Salmonella enterica. RNAcentral describes it as "partial 23S ribosomal RNA". It matches the Rfam family "Bacterial large subunit ribosomal RNA", at positions 703 to 1457 of the family's 2925-position model. The record is from RNAcentral. Lineage: Bacteria; Pseudomonadati; Pseudomonadota; Gammaproteobacteria; Enterobacterales; Enterobacteriaceae.
CAGGGUAUAGACCCGAAACCCGGUGAUCUAGCCAUGGGCAGGUUGAAGGUUGGGUAACACUAACUGGAGGACCGAACCGACUAAUGUUGAAAAAUUAGCGGAUGACCUGUGGCUGGGGGUGAAAGGCCAAUCAAACCGGGAGAUAGCUGGUUCUCCCCGAAAGCUAUUUAGGUAGCGCCUCGUGAAUUCAUCUCCGGGGGUAGAGCACUGUUUCGGCUAGGGGGCCAUCCCGGCUUACCAACCCGAUGCAAACUGCGAAUACCGGAGAAUGUUAUCACGGGAGACACACGGCGGGUGCUAACGUCCGUCGUGAAGAGGGAAACAACCCAGACCGCCAGCUAAGGUCCCAAAGUCAUGGUUAAGUGGGAAACGAUGUGGGAAGGCCCAGACAGCCAGGAUGUUGGCUUAGAAGCAGCCAUCAUUUAAAGAAAGCGUAAUAGCUCACUGGUCGAGUCGGCCUGCGCGGAAGAUGUAACGGGGCUAAACCAUGCACCGAAGCUGCGGCAGCGAACGUAUCACCCAAGACAACUUUACGGAGUUGACGAUUGACGGAGCGAAGCGACGUCAAAGCGUUCAUUAAAGUCGAGUUGGCUUAGGGAUACGUUCGUUGGGUAGGGGAGCGUUCUGUAAGCCUGUGAAGGUGUGUCGUGAGGCAUGCUGGAGGUAUCAGAAGUGCGAAUGCUGACAUAAGUAACGAUAAAGCGGGUGAAAAGCCCGCUCGCCGGAAGACCAAGGGUUCCUGUCCAACGUUAAUCGGGGCAGGGUGAGUCGACCCCUAAGGCGAGGCCGAAAGGCGUAGUCGAUGGGAAACGGGUUAAUAUUCCCGUACUUGGUGUUACUGC